Pleuronectes platessa (European plaice) is the source of this 1470-nucleotide long non-coding RNA. RefSeq lists it as uncharacterized. Lineage: Eukaryota; Metazoa; Chordata; Actinopteri; Pleuronectiformes; Pleuronectidae. The record is from RefSeq and is a predicted model, not a curated record. The transcript is spliced from 2 exons.
GCCCAAGGAGCCGUCGUAGGAUACAGAGGAACACAGCAGGCUCAUUGACAUCCAUGAUUCAAAAAGGAACUGAUGCCAGUCACUACAACCGAACAUUAACUCGAUUCACCUACAAGGCUCCAAAACUCGACACCAGGCCUGAUCUUCAGUUGAAAAUUUUAUUAAAUUAACUAAAAUUAUCAUCCCUGAGCUUCUCCCAUCACCGCAGUGGAAGACUCUUGGCAGCAACUUGUUAGAACUCUGAGAAGUCUCAAGUGAGCAGCAUUGGAACACCAUCGCCAUCUAAUCUUCACUGCAGCCAAAUUCACGGACUCAUCAUAGAACAAGACCCCUGUAAGGAGCAGCGAUCACCAGAUGAUGGAAUAUUCAUUGAAGUACUUUACCUGUUGUUUUGAGUGAGUCACCGCCCGGUCUGCAAGGUGACGGCUCCUUGAAGGAUUUUUCUUUGUGGCUUGAAUUACACUUUUUCUCUCAGAAGUCAGCCCCGCUCUUUAUCGUGACUGUUGUGAAACUGUCCAGGGUUAUAUUCCAACCGAGUUUCUUUAAGGAGUCACGGCUUUACUGUUGAGCCAGCCUGCAUUGUCCAUUGGAUUCUAGCCUUUUUAACACCUCCCUCUCAUAUGUCGGGGUGAAACUUUAAAAGGCCGUUGCCUCCAAAAUCUCUGCUCACACAGUUAUGGACAAGGUGGACAAGAAAAAGCAUGAAAGUGGAUUGGGAUGUUGCAGAAGCGACGACAGAUGAGUUGACUGUCUUUCCUCCGUGAAUGAAGGGUAUAUAUGAAGGUGAAAUGUGGACAUUUUGGAUGAUUUAGCUUAUAUCUCCUGUUUUUUUAAUUAUGUGGUGCCAACAUAGAUUAGACAAGUCGUUUUCUGUCAAUGAGCCUCACACAUCUUGUACACAUCACCGGGAGCAUUUGGCACAUGUGGACCCCUGGCUCAUUUUUAUCGUCUGUAUUUUGAGUGUAUGUGAUUUGGUGGGUGUGUGCUUGUGUGUGCUUGUGUGUGCUUGUGUGUGCUUGUGUGCGUGUGUGUGCGUGUGUGCGCGUGUGCGCGUGUGUGCGCGUGUGCGUGUGCGUGUGUGUGCGUGUGUGCGUGUGUGUGUGUGUGUGAGAGAGAGAAAGAAAGAAAGAAAGAAAGAAUGUGCACAUGCAGAGAUACACUGUGAAAUAAGUAAUGUCUAAUGCAUUAUUCAUACUCUUGUAUAUUUUUGGGGACACGCCCAGACCAGAGCUCACCAUCUGGCAAAGAGCAUUUGUGAUUUUACAGAUGUUGGAUUUCAUUUGAAUCUUUGUAGAUGUGUUUUUUCCUUUUCUUUAUCUUUCCCUUGUUUUUUUCUUUAGUACAUAGAGAUAUUUAUUUUGGGGGAAAAUAUUAUUGAAACUGGGUAAAGAUCUAAAAAUAUGUCACAUACGGUAAGUUAAAUUCUGUAAUUAAGAAAUCAAUUUAUGUGUGAUUAAAUGUAGUUCAGAA